Lathyrus oleraceus (garden pea) is the source of this 789-nucleotide long non-coding RNA. RefSeq lists it as uncharacterized. Lineage: Eukaryota; Viridiplantae; Streptophyta; Magnoliopsida; Fabales; Fabaceae. The transcript has 4 exons. The record is from RefSeq and is a predicted model, not a curated record.
UAGUAAUGGAGACAGGGGUACAGGCCUCACGGCAGGUUUAUGAAGCAAAAAACUGGUUGAAGAUUGAAAAAAAAAGCUUGCAGAUUGAGAACUCAAGUUGAGGAUCCUCCCCUUAAUUGCAGUUGUGCUGCGGAUUGAGGGAUUGUGGUGAUUGUUGCAGAUUGCAGAAUGGGAUUCCCAGGUUGCAGAGUGGAGACACCCAAUUGCAGAAUGAAGAUUGCAGGUUGAAGAUUGAAGAAGAUUGAAGAUUGAAGAAGAUUGAAGAUUGAAGAUGAAAGAAGAUUGAAGGUUGAAGAAUAGAAUGAAGAGUUGAGAAUUGAAGAUCGAAGUUGGUUCCUUUUUUCAUUGAAGUUCUGCAGUAAGGUUUCUUUGCCCUGCUAGGACCACAUGCUGUUAGGACUGCUUGCAGAACGCAUUUGUUGUGAAAGAAGACAAAUAAAAAUGUUGGCUGCAAUGCUUAAUGGAAAAUUAUUUAGGUUGAGGUUUGGUCUGUUAUUGUCGAAGGUUUGGGUGGCUGUAGGUGGACUUGCUGUAGUUGUGUGUUGAUGUUGAUGCAUCAUCUGAUGUUUAAUUAUUGGCUGCAAAAUCGUGUUUUGGCAUGCUAGUGUUAGGAUGAUAGGUGAUGUAUAUUACUAUGAUACCAUGUCUUGAACUGUUGUGGUUUGUGGAUGCUAUGAAAAUAUUUUGAAUGUUUUAAUUAGUCUUGAGUGUUAAUGAAUCGAAAUUGUAAUUCAAUUGAAUUAAUUUUGGAUAUUUGAAUGUAAUUGAUGGUAUGGGUGUUAGCUCCAA